Molecule: long non-coding RNA, 914 nt
Filed under: Anas platyrhynchos platyrhynchos (common mallard)
Lineage: Eukaryota; Metazoa; Chordata; Aves; Anseriformes; Anatidae
Description: lncRNA (ENSAPLG00000022495.1)
Source: RNAcentral
CACCUUCAGUGCCCAGGAGGGACAAAUGGUUUUGGUUCAGUGUGCCAUUGAUGGGCGUUCUCCCGUUACAAGAAUUGUCUUCUGCAAGGAUGGGGUGGAAACAUCCAGCCUGAAGGCCAUUCAGGGGCAGCUGACCUACAACAUGAUCAUGAAUGUCUCACUGGGAAGUGCAGGCAAGUACACGUGUGGGUACCAGCUCAAGGAUCAGAGCAACCAAGUGAAGAACUCUGCCCUCAGUGUCCCCCAGGACUUGGAAAUCACAGGUGCCUGCAGAGGAAGAUGCCCAAGGCAGCAGCACGUUGACAGCCCACAGACGGAAGACACCAACUAUGGUGACAUCCAGUACUCCACCAUCGCCCAUGUUCGACGGGACAGGGUGAGUCAUGGCACAGCUGUGCACACCUCCUUUCUGCACUCCUGCAGCCUGGUGCACGCUCAUUGUGCAGGGCUCACAGUCAGCAGCUGAAGUAACAGGGUUUCUUUUCUCCCUAAAGCCUCGUCCCAUGCAGCACAUGAGAAACACCACGACAUAUGCCAUGGUGACCCGCACCCAGACCCGAUAGCGCUGCCACAGGGCAAGGGCACAGGAGCCUUGUCCACAGCUGCCUUUGCUCUCCUGCAGAGGGCUCCUGCAGCCAUAACGUGGGGCUGGGGGUUGCACUUUGGUCUUCUUUGGGGUUUGUUAUCACAGGGAAGGGCUGUGAGUGUCUAGCCAAGUCGAUGUAGGACUCAUACCUCCAUCUACAAUACAUUAAUACUUCCAAAAUAUAUGAGCUAUACCAAAUCUUACUGUGAGUGUAUUGAUUUUUUCUCAAAAGAAGAAAACCUCUCGCUGUGCUCAGUGGAUGAUGUGUACACAUAAGUUGCAUUAUAAUGUCAUGGGGGUAUUAUUCUACCCACCCACGGAGAUGCCC